UCUGAUUAUUGCUACUGUUAUCUGUCUGUCUGUAUCUAUUCCAAUCCCAUCCAUCCAUCCAUGUCUGCCUGUCUUCUGUCUGUCUAUCUAUCUACUCAUCUAUCAGCUGUGGUGGCACAGUGGUUAGAACGCACUGUCGCAGGCUAAUUCUGCCCACUACCAGCAGUUCGAUCUUCACCGGCUCGAGGUUGACUCAGCCUUCCGUCCUUCCGAAGUCAGUAAAAUGAGGACCCAGAUGGUUGGGAGGCCAAGAGGCUGACUCUGUAAGCGGUUGGGAGUGGGCUGUGCAGCACCGUGAAGAGGUAUAUAAGUCUUAAGUGCUGUUGCUGUUUUUUCCCUCCUCCUUCCCCCUCCCUCCCUCCCCCUCUAGGAAGAAGAAGCCAAACACCUCGUGAGAGAUGCUAUUGCAGCCGGCAUAUUUAAUGACCUGGGCUCUGGCAGUAACAUCGAUAUCUGUGUCAUUAACAAGAGCAAGCUGGACUUCCUCCGUCCGUACAACACACCAAACAAAAAGGGGGAAAGGCAAGGAAAAUACCGGUGUGAGAAGGGCACCACGGGCAUCCUAUCGGAAAAGGUUAUCUGCCUGGAACUGGAAGUGGCGGAGGAGACGGUGCAGACCAUGGACACGUCCUGAUUCCCGGCAGAGAGUCCGGGACACGGUUAGGGGACCGAGAGUAUUCCUUCAAAGUCAAAAUAAUUUGUUACAAUUAACCGAAUGAAUAAAUGAAUAAUAAAUAAUGGAAACAGGGCGGGUUGUUCUUGUAAUUUGGAGGAGGGCAGGGAAGAGUGUUGUGGCCUGUCGGCCCCUCCAGCAACCGAAUCGGAGGAGGAGGGGGAGAUGUAGGAGUUAGGGUCAGCAUCAAGGCAACCUGAGAGCUCUGAGGGGGAAGAGGAAUGGAGGUGUCAGACAGACAGACACAGGCGGAGCCUGGGCCAUCCGUCAUCCCUCACAUGGAGAGUCAAGAGCCCCCAGGUCUGGAGGUGGCUGAUGAGGAAGAGGAGGAACAGUGCCU
Molecule: long non-coding RNA, 1013 nt
Filed under: Pseudonaja textilis
Lineage: Eukaryota; Metazoa; Chordata; Lepidosauria; Squamata; Elapidae
Description: lncRNA (ENSPTXG00000008941.1)
Source: RNAcentral